CCAACUGUGAAAAAGAGUCAGUUUCAGGAUUAAGAGCCCUCAGCAAAUACAACAACGAGCCAUAUUCAAGUUGUAGCACAAAGGUCGUACUGCCGUGAUUAUUUCCAAACACCUAUGCAGUACGAAAUGCUUGACGGGCAAAUGGUACGCUAAAAUCUGGUAAUAUCGAUGUAAUGGAUAGACUUUGCCAUUCAGGCUUUGUGACAACUGCCAUGUAGCUUCUUAUUGCAUGCCGGGACAAGGUACUCCAUCGUCUUUCAGAUAUGUUACACAUGAACACUGCUGAAAGAAAGCAGGGCCAUGGCGAGGAGGACUUCGGAAAACGUCUAACCCAAGUGUGAUGAAUGUUUGCCUUCUCACCAUAAGACAGCUGCCUUGCAUUUCCGACUACAAAAUCCAUGCAGUGAUGAUUUGUGUGAUCCUUAGAAGAUAUUUGUUACCAAUACGAUUCAACAUCUGGUCUUAAACAGUCACCACUGGGUGAAGGCAACCUUGGCACAGAAAUUCAUCAAGG
Long non-coding RNA from Daphnia carinata, 514 nucleotides. RefSeq lists it as uncharacterized. The transcript has 3 exons. The record is from RefSeq and is a predicted model, not a curated record. NCBI's taxonomy places the organism in Eukaryota, Metazoa, Arthropoda, Branchiopoda, Diplostraca, Daphniidae.